CGCAGGACUAGGGCCACUGUGGUCAUACCGCCCACCUCAAACACUGAUCUCCUCUUAAGCCUGUCUCCAGCUGGGGUCUCUGGGCCACAGGGGCCUGCCAUGGGCCCAGGUAGCAAAGAAGUACUCCUUGCUGCAGACGGUAGCUACUGUUGUUGUUUGGGAAAACUUUACCACGGUGACGAAACAUUAUCCCGACCUCCGUCCCCUGACGUAAUUGGUUCCUGCGUAGAGACCAGCAAGCUUUUGGGGCCGGUGUGGAACCAGGUUUUCAGCCUCAGAACGGUCUUUUCUGCGGUGGAAAUGUGCGGAACGGUUCGAAAAUUCGCACAGGCCCAGGAACCCGCACCCGAACCAUGUUGGUAGAAAAGAGCUACUCAUGUGCAAAUCCACAACAGACCUGGGGCACACAUGCACAGGAUGCAUUCUUGCAUUCAAAAGCAGUUAGACGGUGCGCAACAGAAUGGAACAACGCAGAAUGUAAGAUCUGAAAGACACACACAGGCUUGCCACCAAUCAGAGCUUCUUACUAACAGAGAUAAUUCUCUCAAAGAUCUUUAAAGGAAAAAACAUGUUAUGAUAGUUUCUCUGUGAUACCGUUUGUCAUAAUUGAUGGUAACCAGACACCAUAAUGACAAGGGUCAACACUGAUAUUGUGGCAGACCAAUUUCACAGUUGCUGCAAUA
Myxocyprinus asiaticus (Chinese sucker) is the source of this 683-nucleotide long non-coding RNA. RefSeq lists it as uncharacterized. NCBI's taxonomy places the organism in Eukaryota, Metazoa, Chordata, Actinopteri, Cypriniformes, Catostomidae. The transcript has 3 exons. The record is from RefSeq and is a predicted model, not a curated record.